RNAcentral lists this long non-coding RNA (768 nucleotides) under Vulpes vulpes (red fox). Its description in RNAcentral is "lncRNA (ENSVVUG00000020660.1)". Lineage: Eukaryota; Metazoa; Chordata; Mammalia; Carnivora; Canidae. The record is from RNAcentral.
CAGAUGUGCAACCACUAGCCACUCAAGUGCCCUACUGACUAAGAAUUUAAACGAGAUCAAGCUAUGUUGGAGAAGCCAAGGGAAGUUUUUGAUGUGGGUGCCCUCCUCUGAAUGAAUGAAUUUUAUGGAAUUUUAUUUCUACAAGAUUUGAAAUUAUAGGAUAAUUCAGUUGGAUUUGAGCAUUUAAACAAUUUCCAUAAAUGGAUCAAAAAAGUCUAAUUUCCACAAGGUUCCUCAAAGUGACUCAUUUAGAUGACUAGAUCUUCAUGCUUACUCUGAUCAUUACUUCAUGUUUCAAAACAAAUUUGAAAAAGAAAACCAAAGAACAUAAGAAAACCUCCCAGAGAUUAUAGACUUUGAGCACACUGCAAAUGGCCUAAAAUGAAACUGACAUAUCAAAUGUUUAUUGGGGGAGAGUGCUCAACACAAAAGGAGUGUGUAAAAAAAAUUAUUUGUGAAGAUCACCAAAGGAAUAAAUUUUUUCAUCCAAAAAUAAUCCCACAUCAGCCAUCUUACUGGAACCUGGCAAUUACAAACAGGCAAUAUUCACUCAAUAGUAUGUAUAUGGGGGAUCCCUGGGUGGUGCAGCGGUUUAGCGCCUGCCUUUGGUCGAGGGCGCAGUCCUGGAGACCCGGGAUCGAAUCCCAUGUCGGGCUCCCUGCAUGGAGCCUGCUUCUCCCUCUGCCUGUGUCUCUGCCUCUCUCUCUCUCUCUGUGUCUGACUAUCAUGAAUAAAUAAAUUAAAAAAAAUAGUAUGUAUAUGUAUUUU